GGGCCGUUAGCUCAGUUGGCAGAGCAGCUGACUCUUAAUCAGCGGGUCGAAGGUUCGAAUCCUUCACGGCCCACCA
This 76-nucleotide transfer RNA is filed under the name Thiohalorhabdus denitrificans. Its description in RNAcentral is "tRNA-Lys". It matches the Rfam family "tRNA". Rfam says of the family: Transfer RNA (tRNA) molecules are approximately 80 nucleotides in length. Their secondary structure includes four short double-helical elements and three loops (D, anti-codon, and T loops). Lineage: Bacteria; Pseudomonadati; Pseudomonadota; Gammaproteobacteria; Thiohalorhabdales; Thiohalorhabdaceae. RNAcentral also lists the same sequence under 9 other names. The record is from RNAcentral.